CAAAACGGAUCUUACAAAGUCCAGCUACAAACAUCAAAGGCCACUGUGGUUUCAUAAUUCUAGAUUUUACUUGCAAUAUCACCUGAGGAGUUUAKAGUGCAGAUUCAGAAGUGGUCACCUUUCUCUCUCUGCCUCAAGGACAUAGCUUCAAUUUGCAUACACAACUACAGUUGAUUCGUGAAGGCGUGAUUAUCGUCAGAGUCCUUCAAAYCUUCUUUGGAAGUUAGCAUCUGAGCACAGAUAAGACACUGCAAUCAAAUGUGUCUUUGCUGCUUAGGAAAAUAAGCUGCAUCUUGAUUCUCCCAACACGCCAAGGACCUGAACAAAUAGUGARAGAUAGGGAUGCAAAACUGACUGGGUUAAAUAAAUGCAAGUACUGAAGGUGAGGUGACCAUAUCAGUGGUUUGCUUGGAUAUCUGUAGUGUGUCUGUGGACACACCUAUGGUUAAGUAGAACUUCAAGCAGAUGGCUCUUCAUGCUUGUGCAACGCCUCUGCUGCUGCUGCACGUAUCUUUCAAUCAAAACUACUACUGCUAUUAUUCCUGUAAACUUUUACAUCUGCUGUAAUUAACUUUUAUA
Nothoprocta perdicaria is the source of this 579-nucleotide long non-coding RNA. RefSeq lists it as uncharacterized. The record is from RefSeq and is a predicted model, not a curated record. The transcript is spliced from 4 exons. NCBI's taxonomy places the organism in Eukaryota, Metazoa, Chordata, Aves, Tinamiformes, Tinamidae.